This 395-nucleotide ribosomal RNA is filed under the name uncultured microorganism. RNAcentral describes it as "bacterial SSU rRNA". It matches the Rfam family "Archaeal small subunit ribosomal RNA", at positions 330 to 680 of the family's 1478-position model. The record is from RNAcentral.
GCGCAGCAGUCGAGAAACCUUCGCAAUGCAGGAAACUGCGACGAGGGAACUCCAAGUGCCUACGGCUCAGCGUAGGCUGUUCUCAAGCCUAGAAAGCUUGAGGAGUAAGGGCUGGGUAAGACGGGUGCCAUCUGUGGUAGCAGUCAAUAGAUUCGAUUUGUUACUGCAAGGCAUAAGCCGCCGCGGUAAUACCCGCAGCCCAAGUGGUGGCCGCUUUUAUUGGGCCUAAAGCGUCCGUAGCCGGCCCGGUAAAUGCCUGGGUAAAUCGUGGAGCCCAACUUCACGAAUUCCGGGUAGACUGCCGAGCUCGGGACCGGAAGAGGGAGAGGGUACUUCAGGGGUAGGGUGAAAAUUUCCUUCCAUUAACGCUUUGCGCGAAGCGGAAGGGGUUAUCA